UAAAAGUCUCUCCAAAAGUGAACUCAUCAGAGUACAGAAAAAAAUAUGCACUAGUAACGAUUCACAGAUCCACAGGAUCCUCGAAGGCUUCAAUGGGCAAGUUGACAAGUGGUUCCUUUCUAUUGUCCUCAUCUGGUUGGGGGGGUUAUGAAAAGGGGUGAGUUUUAAAUACUCAGUAAACAAAAUAAUGUUUAAAUGACAUUACUAA
RNAcentral lists this long non-coding RNA (208 nucleotides) under Carica papaya (papaya). RNAcentral describes it as "long non-coding RNA (CPAP_LNC008123)". The record is from RNAcentral. Lineage: Eukaryota; Viridiplantae; Streptophyta; Magnoliopsida; Brassicales; Caricaceae.